Cygnus olor (mute swan) is the source of this 11107-nucleotide long non-coding RNA. RefSeq lists it as uncharacterized. Lineage: Eukaryota; Metazoa; Chordata; Aves; Anseriformes; Anatidae. The transcript has 5 exons. The record is from RefSeq and is a predicted model, not a curated record.
AUCUUCUCAUGACUUCGAGUUUGCCCUGACCAGAUCAGAAGAAUGCUCCUUUAAGUACUAAGCGUCUAUUUAACAGGAAUAAUAAAAGUUUUAGGUUUGGUGUGGAAGAAGUUCUCUGACCAUGAAAAUUCCAUAUUAGCAACUCAUGGAGGCUUUGUAGAAAUAAAGAGCUUGUCCUGCAUUGUUUUAUGGAUACCUGGAUUUCAUUAACUUCAAGUUAAAACCUUACAGUUGGCAGCAUCACACUUGUGAUUCAAAACCAUCUUGCGUGUUGAAUUAAUUUCUCACCAGGAGGUAUAUUUGCUUGUUCCACAUGAGAAGAGUAUUUUAGACCAUGUUAGAUUGCAAGAAUUAAUAACAGAAGCAGUCAGACUCAUAUGCAAACUGUUAGAACUUUACUUAAAGUAAUUAGAAUAUGAAAGCUAUUGGACAGUAUUGGAGCACAGAUCUCUCCCCCCCUCCAAAAGAAAGCAUAGGACAUUCUUUUUAACAAUGCAAAAACAUACAUCUCUGUUAAAUACAUAAACAGCACUCAAUUUUAAUGCAACACGUACUUUUAUACCAUUGACCAUAGCAGUCAUUUAAAAAUGUACAAAGUUUUGCCUUCAUUGGUUUCUUAGAGUUACAGAAAACCCACAUGUUAAAGCAAAGUAAAUGUUCAUUAAAAACCAAACUGGUAGCUUUAGCAGGUGUACAACUUACAGAAAACAAUGCUUAUUUUGAAAGAAAUCAGUUGGAAUUCUGUAAGUAUGACAGAAAAUGAUGCAUGAGGUAACAUUUCUUUUAAAAUCUAGGAUCCCUGUACUAUAGUUCCAAAUAGUGCUCUGAUUUGACACAUACAGUCCUUGGAAAUUGACUUGUUUAAAUAGUCAAGGAUUGCUAUUAGGAACGCUGUUUUGUAUAAAGACUGCUUUAUCCUGAAAGACACUGAAAGAAUCUGAAUCUGAUAGUGAAAGAUAUUCGGAAAGAAAUGAAAAGCAAGCGAUACCUCUAAGGUGGAACAUCCAUCUGCCUAGUUCUCAGAUUUACCUUCAAAUUAUAAAAACAAACUGAAAAAGAAAAAAAAAAAAAAAAAAAAAAAAAGAAAAAGAAAAAAAAAAAAAAAAAAAAAAAAAAAAAGAAAAAAAAAAAAAAAAAAAAAAAAAAAAAAAAAAAAAAAAAAAAAAAAAAAAAAAAAAAAAAAAAAAAAAAAAAAAAAAAAAAAAAAAAAAAAAAAAAAAGGAAAAGGAAAAGGAAAAGGAAAAGGAAAAGGAAAAGCUUUUUCUUUAUGGAAAGUCAGCCUUAAUCCCAGUGCAAACACAGCAUUCCCUAAAAGGUGGCCAGCUAGUACUCUUGCCUCUUUCUGAGUUGCAAACCUUCUGAGAACAGAACAAAACUUUGUCCUACAGAAUACUGCAGGCCAGGGCGUCUAGGGUCUGGUGGGGAAAAGCACGAGGCCCCCAGACAUUCUCCCCUUCUUUCCUGAGCACAGGUCUUCAGAUGUUGUGCUGCCCUUUUUUAGGAUGCUGCUUCAAGACACUGCUCCCCACUCCCAAUUUUUGAAGUAUUUCCAUGAAACCAAAAACAAGUCAAUUUUAGAGAACCCAAAGGCACAAUUAGAACAUGCAAGUAUCAGUUUAAUAGGCAUUUAUGUGGCUCUGUUCCUUGCAGUAUCCAAGCAUUUUUCACAAGCAUUAAUAAAUCCUAUCAUGAGAGCAUGUCUUGGAGAUGGGAGAACCUGCUAUCCUUGUUAUUAUUACUUUACAACUGAUGCAGUCUUCAACCUCACACAAUGUGGUCAAAGCCAUCUUGAGCCUCUGUUCUGAAACUGCACCUCCUUUGAGAUACUUUCUAGGGGGUACUUCUAUUCAAUUUGGCUCUCCUCCAAGAUGAUUCCCUGCUGUGAAGACAAAAUAGUUCUCAUCUUCUGCUUUGCCCUUUAGGUUUUGCUCAGCUUUAGAGUUUCUUUCUGGAGUGACCUUGAGGCUUGCCCUGCUCAAAUAUGUGACGAUGAAGAGAGUAGAAUGCAUGAAGCUUUCUUCUUUUUCACUGCAAAAGGUGUGACAAAGUCUUUUGUGUUCCUAGCACUAUGAAGUUCAGUUCUAUCUAGCACCAGCAAUGCUGCUGGGAAACUUUAAAGGUGAGUGAACUUUCCACUGAAGAUGACAAAUGAAGGAGUCACAGUUCUGGCUGCCCACUAGUAUGGUCCUUGCAGGAUAAUGCCAAGUGUGUGGUGCUUCAAAAAGACAUCUCAGUCAUUCGUUAGCAGCCAUCUCUCUCCACUUACAUGGGCUCUGUCACUCAUUCCUCCAUACUCACUCACUCACUUAUACUCCUCCUCGGGCACUUCCAGAAACUUCCUAUCCAAUAUAGAUCCCGAAACAAGAGUUUCUCAAAGCUUAGGAAGGCUGCUAGGCUGUGCUGCCCAAGCACUGUUCAAACGCAUUUCAUCUGUCCCACCAAGAAUAGAGCCCUUGGUCUCCAGUGUGGAUUUCUGCCGCUCAUGGCAUUAAGAUGCUCUGCCAGCAUCACAGCACAAAUAACAAAAGCAGCACUGGGGGAUCUUACACUGGCUUCAGUCCCAGCUCCACGUCCAUCAACAACAGGCAAGGUCCAUUUUUUCCCCCUUGGAAGAGCGAGCUCUAGGGACGAUCGCUGCUGCCAGCUCAGUCGUAAUGGUGGAACGACAACCCAUCUGAGAGCAUCUUUCUAAAGGAGCUUUGUGCCUCCUGCCUCGGGUCACCCUCCCACUUGCCAGGCGAGCUCUGAGGUCCCAGCCAUGCCUGUGUCUCCCACCAAAAACCCGCUGUAGGCUCUCGGCUUCAAGAAAAAAGGUGGAGGCAGCAACAUCAAAAGCUGAUCUAAAAUAUCAGAACAGUGAGGCCUAUGUUAUGAAUGAUCAAAACUUGACAUGAUCUAAGCUUGACUGCCUUUAUGGUGGCGGUGGGAGAUACUGUUCAGUUUAAAAGCACAGGCUGAGUCCUCCCCUUGUGCGUUUGCUUUGUAAUAGUAUACAGAGUUUUGCAUGCAGAUUUUUAUUAAACCUAAAGGUGAAGCGCACUUCAAACUGUGUUAUUUUAAUAGUGAUUAGGUUUACUUAGAAAAGCUUGUUCAUGUCACCUACAAAAAUGCAUAUGCACCUUCAGCUUUUAGGAGCUUUUGCAAUUUUGAGGCAUUUGCAAGAUCUGUGGAUAAAAUCAGCUAAUCUAAGUAAUCAGCAAACUUACUGCCUCUAGCAUACUAAUUGUUUCAUUACAAUUUAGGAAGGACUUUUUUCAUUUAUUGUAAUAGGGCACAAAAGCAGAGUUACAUUAGUGCCGUCUUGGAGAGCAAACUAAAAAGUUCAUGCUCUGCUGUUUUCUGUGUGUGUACACAUACUCUGCUUUCCACCCAGGCAGUAUACUCAUUAAAAGGGAAUGCAUUUUUUUUUUCAAUUUUUGUUUUGUUUUUGUUUCUCUUGUGUUUUUGCUGAAUUAUGGAUAAAGCUGUUGCUUCAAUUUUAAAAUACAUCCUUUCUUAAGAAGGGAUUUAUAUGCUCUCAUUUGUAGUAUUUAAGUAUUUACUCUGCAUUACCUUGAUUACAAAGGGGAGUUACCAGAAAGGAUAGCUUUUUUUUUGUUGUGCUGAAUGAUGCACAUGAAAAGAGGGAUAGGAGGAAACAUGAUAUAUGCAGCUGCUUGCUGGUUUCAGGCUUUUGUACUUAGAGAGUUAAUUGUAAAAGUGCAGUGCAGUACUCAAAUAUUUUGUCUGCAUAUACAAUAGCUUAUUUUUGCUCUGCCCUCACUGUGGGCUCCCACAGGGUAGGAGGGUACUUUAAAGCUGGCUCUACAAUAUGAAAGUUUUGUCAUCUGCAAAAGAAUCUGUGAAGCUCAGAUUUUGGCUUAGCUAUCUGCAUUGUAGAGCCCUAGUGGGCACAGUUUCUCAGCUCUGAACUGAAACCCUAAAAAAAAAAAAAAAAAAAAAAAAAAAGUCCCUUAAGAUGAAGGGACCUUCCUAGGUUCCUAACUGAACCAGGGAACAAAUUAGGUCAGAAGGCAAUGGCAGGUAGUCCUCUAUCUAACCCCAAGGCAGGGUCAUUUUAGAUAUUGGAUCAAGUUGCUCAAGUCCAGUUGAAUUUUAAACUUAACAGAGUGUCUCUGUUAAUUGGUCUCUCCAACUCAUCAGGGCUAUAUUUUUAGGUUUGAAAUACAUGAUACUUGCCAUUGCUUCAAACUAUUGCAGGCUGUAGUGCUAGCUUUGCUGUAAGAGUUGGGAUCCCAGUGCUAUGAAAUCAUGAGGAAGACAAAAAGUGGCCCAAGUUAAGUAGUGAACUUGAAUUAAUUCUGUUAAUUCUUGAUUUUAAAUAAAGACCACCCCCAAUUCCUUCUGUUUCUUGACUCUCCUUUUCAGCUUAGCAAAUGAAAAAACAGUUCAUCAACAAAGUUUUGUUUUAAGCUACUUUUUAAUCACUGCGUUACUUGACAUUCAGCAUGAAGAUUACAUAUUUCUUCUCAAAACACCAAUAGGCAAAAUAAACCUAGCAGGAGCCUUCAGAAAGAAAUAAGGGAAAGUCUGAAGAUGCUGAACUGGGAAUGAGAAAAAAAUGAUGAGGUAAAACUAACAAGUUGAUAUGAGCAGUGACAAGGUUUGGUAAUGCCAAGGAAAAUUUUCCCCUCAAGGUUGCAAAGACAAAAAAGCACCUAAAAAUAUACCACAGUCUUUUUGUUCUACUGACUGAGCACAAAUACCUUGGUUAUGACAUGUUGAGAUGUAAGAUCCCUCUUUAACCAUACAAUUAACUUGCACAAGCAGCAGAAAAAGUGCCCUUCUGCUUGCGUACGUGAUCCAAGCUGAGGUUAAAGCUCAGCUCUCUGCCCCUGUAUUUUGUCUUUGGCCUUUUUGUUCAGAAUGUGCAAAUUAUUGAGAAGUCUGGCAAUGAUUUUGCUGACGAGUGGAUCUGUGCACUGAAAUGUGAACUUGCAUCUCUGAUGUAAACCCACACAAGCUGCCCCCAAAUUACCCGAGCCCCAGCUCCCUAGGCAGCCUGCAUCCUCCCUCUGCUCUGCCACACUCUUGUAGGUUAAGCCCAUGCUUGGCCUGAGCUUGUUGCUGAGCUAACUAACGUAUGUGCCUCAUAUCAUGAGGCUGCACCAGCAGGCAGUCCCAUAAAGUGUGCUGCUGCACAUUUGCAGAGCAAGCACAGAGGCCACCCUCCUGUGAGCACCCAGCAGGAGGCCAAAAAGUGCCUGCCUGCCCUGGCGCUGCUUGAGGGACCUUACUGUGGCUUGCAAAUACGGCAUUCUGCACAUACGUAUAGUUAGGCUGGUAUUUGGGAAAUACCAAACACCAAAACUGUGAUGAUUUUCUCUUUGUUUAACCAAUGUUUGUGUGACAUCUGCCCAGUUGCCCACUUACUGCCAGCUACUCAGAUCCAGUAAGCAGUGUAAAGCCUCCUCUUUGCAUGUCAUAAAAUCUGCAUAUUGGUUUAUUUCUGCUUGAAUAAUCUUCUAAGAUGUUUUCAUACUCCACUGAGGACUCCUCCACUCUCAGAAACCAAAAUACUUAAAAGCUGUGUCUUAUUUACACAUUACUUCUCACCCUUCGGUUCCUCUCUAGUGCAGUUAAAUGGCAGUAGUCACUGCUCUGCUAUUUUCUGCUGAUUGUGUUCCACACCAUGCUGUUGUCUUUAGGCUGGAUAUACCAUAUCCAUAAGCUUUUCCAUGUUUCCCCCUUCUUUCCAAUUUCAGCUUACUGACUGAAAUCCUGCUUUAUCUUACUGGUAUCGUGCCUGUUGAAAGGUUGUUUAAUUUACUCUUUCAUGUAGCUUGAAACUGCAAUUUUUCACACAGCCUAGUGUUAGUCCUUCAUUAAGAUGUUUAUGCUUGAAUCUUUGUUCCAACAAACUAUAUACAGCCAGUAAUAAAAUAUGUGCAUAAAACUCUCAUACACACAUAUACAUACGCUUAUAUAUAUAAUAUAUAUAUAUACAUAUAUAUGCAUGGCUUUCUAAGACACUAAUGGCUACUGAAACUAUGCUCAGGUAACACCCAGCUGCACUCAAAUCCCUGCCAAUUGCACCAGGUCCACACAACCCCAGUGGGAGACGGAGUCAGUGCUGCUGCCUUUCCAGUCCCCAUCCUGUCCUGCAUUUUGCCGAGGACCCAUCUGCAGGCAGCAUGGGUGCAGGAUGCCCCUCGAUGCCCUGGUCCCCACAGCAUCGUGCCUCGCAGCCCAGUGCAUGGCUGUGCCUGCUCUGAGUGCACCGGCCUGAAAGCAUCCUUUCACCCUUUUUAAGCAUGAGGCGCCAGCCCACAAAAAAAGGAGCUCUCCCCGUCAAAAGACUCCUGUCCGUGCGCCAUGGCCUGUCCUGAAUGCGCUGCAUUCAGCAGCUCACCCUCUGUCUCCAGCUGCUGUCUGUCUGUCUGCUGCGAUUCGGCAAAAACCAGGCAAGCGCCAGGUAUAAAUCUCUCCCAGUCAAAGGAAAUAUUUAGCAGCAAAAAUGAGUAGGAAACAAAAGACUUCUCUGUUACUCACCCAAUCUUCUCACCCAGUGUAGCUCUAACUAAGGAGCAGGCAACUUAGCGCUCUCUCCCCGGGCGGCCGUGCAAGAGGGACGGGGAUGCCUGGGAGCCAGCUGAUGCACCCGCAUGGCCUCAAGCACUGGCCAGGACAUGCAGAGCCUGUUUCAUCAAGUCCAUCGCUUGAUUGAAACAACCAUGCAUAAACAUACAAAUAUGUUGUUUGUGAACAAAGUCUUACAAACUUUGGGCACCAGGAGAAGCAAGGAACAGAUUCAAUCUGCAGCCAACUGAGACAGAAGGAACGCCAGUUUGCCAAUCAGGGGUAAUGACUUACACCCAGCUGGUAUGCAGGCAUCCCUCCUCAGCUGUUGCAAAAUACAGUCCCACCCCCAGUCAGCAGAGUCAGUGCUGAUAAAUGGCUUCAAAGAGCACUUCUGACACAGCAGCUGGUGGGUAAAGACCAUGGUGAUUCCUAGCCUCAAGAACAAGCAGUUUCAGGAGCCAUUCAUGCAGAAUAGACUCUUUGUGUGAAACCUGAACAAUCAUGAAGAAGACAUCAGUCUCCACUUCACUGAACCAAACAGAAAUCCUUUGUUCCAGAACAAAAGCUCACUGCGGUACCACAGAUGGGACAAGGCCCUUGGCUUGCUCGUGAGGAUUUUAUAAAGUCAGCUUCUGGUGGUCCAACAUCUUCCUGAAUACGCAGGAAUGCUUCUGUUCAUGUCUGAAAUGAUCUUUACUGAAGCAGGAACUAAACCUGACUGAAAAGAUCUGGUGCUACUCCCUCAAUCAUGACUCAUAAAUUCAUGAAAAAAUGAGACUUUGUUAACUUCAGUCAACUUGGAAGUACUUGUUCAGCUGCUGGGCUCUCUUGCACCUUCACUGCACAAAGACUACAGCUUUGGCUCUCUCUUUAGCAUUAAGUAUCUUCAUAUCUUCCUUCCCUCCACCUUUCCCAAUUCCUCACUUGGCCCUAGUGGGCUAUCUUCUGAAUGUCUAACAUCAGUCAUCUACACAAGAGUGGAGAUGGACAAGUGGGAAGGUUUCAACACUGCAUACAGGUUAGGAGUAAAGCACUAAAAAGGAAGAACGCCUAAAAUAAGGACCUCAGCAACCAUGGCUUUGUUCUGAAAAUGCUUUCUUCAGGUUGUGAACUGAAAAAACAGCAUUAGGAGCCUGGAAUAUAUGUAACUAUUAAAAUGAUGGAAGUUGCAAUAACUGGGCAAUUUUCUCUGGUAGUAACCCUCUGCCAAACACAGAGGAAAACUGUGGCAUGAGCCUCAAGGAAAUAGAAACAGUAGCCCUUGUACCCCUUUCACAGCACCUGAAUCACUUGAAACCACAGGGAUGAGGCAUCAGAUACUUGGCUGAAGGACUUUUGUGUGAGAAGGAUGAAGGAAUGGAGUAAAAGCCCUGACAGUCCCUUGCAUUGGUCAGAAUUUGCAAAUCACUUUGCUCUACUCCAGGUUGAUCUUUACCAAACCUAAUCAAUUGUGUACAUGGAAACUUCCUCACUCUGCAAAAAUGCAUGAAGGUGAGGGCAUAAAUUCCAGCAUUUCUGUUUCUUCUUGGUAUCUGACAGUCUAAUACAGAUUUCAUAAAAAGAGUGGUAACUGAAUUUAUUUUCUUUAGGAAAGGGAAAAAACCAUUUUUUUUUGAAAGUAUGUUUCACAUACACUGCUUGUAGCAAAUACUAUUUUAAAAUACUUCUUUGCACACCCUCUGGCUACAGUGAUGAUGCCUGAGGCAGCUAAAAAUUAAAGCUAAUCUCCUGAGAGGUCCUGAAUGCAAUUUACUGUCUCUCAGCCUUGAAAUAAGACCUUUCAGGUGUUUCGUCUUCAAAGCUGAAAGAAAGCGAAGUUCAUAAUGCUUUUGUGGGUAUCGUGACUCAUUAAAUGCAUUCACAAUGGCUAAAUGUCAGUCUGUGCGGGAUUCCAGACAUCGAGCACCAAGAGAUGCAUACUGCAGGGAACUGCAGUGCAGUUGUAUUGAAUUAUGGAGUCAUAGAAUCAUAGAAUAUCCCGAGUUGGAGGGACCCAUAAGGAUCAUCGAAUCCAACUCCUGGCACCACACAGGUCUGCCCAAAAAUUCAGACCAUGUGACUAAGUGCACAGUUCAAACGCUUCUUAAACUCCGACAGGCUUGGUGCAGUGACUGCUUCCCUGGGGAGCCUGUUCCAGUGCGCGACAACCCUCUCAGUGAAGAACCUUUUCCUGAUAUCCAGCCUGAACCUCCCCCGCCUCAGCUUGACACCAUUCCUGCGGGUCCUAUCACUGGUGAUUAAGGAGAAUAGAUCGGCGCCUGCCCCUCCACUCCCCCUCGUGAGGAAGCUGUAGGCCGCGAUGAGGUCUCCCCUCAGCCUUCUCUUUUACAGGCUGAACAGGCCAAGUGACCUCAGCCGCUCCUCAUACGUAUUCCCUUCUAGGCCCUUCACCAUCUUUGUAGCCCUUCCCUGGACAGUCUCCAACAGUUUAAUGUCCUUUUUGUACUGUGGUGCCCAGAACUGCACACAGCAGUUCUCCAACUAUGGACACUCCUCUUCUGCCUCCACGAGGUUUCAUGAGUAAAACUUUUACAUGUUCCUUGGUGUUUCUUGAUAUGCAAACUUAAAUCACGUUGCCAGUAACACAAGCUAAGGAUGCCUAGUAAGACACCAGUCAGUCUCACUGCAGAGACACAAACAGCUUUAAUUCCUGUCCUUUACCAACAAUUGCUUUAUGUUUCACAGUUUAGCAGGAAAACGUAGCUGGAAACGUCAAAUACACCUGUUUCUUACAUAUACAAGAACCCUACUCUGUAUAAUUCAUAAUGUGAAAAAUAAAAGGUAAAAGCAGAAAGUGAUACGAAAUGGCGUAUUUAUUAAACUACAGAUUGAAAAUUUGAGAAAACUGAGAACCAGGUAGUUCUUGGUGCACCUCACAGGAAAAGAUCAGCUGCAAGACUGAUGCCUGGGAAUUCAACUGGAAAUUAAAUGUCUAUUAAUAAAAAAAAUCUGGUAUAUGCAAAGCAUCAGAGUGGGAACUUGUCAAUAAGGCAAUACUACUGCAGUGAUAUACUGAGUUGGUAUGAGCCCACUGAGUUCACCCACGUGGGCUCCAAUUUUAUCUGUCAGUGCCUACGUUUUAGCGGCUGGUGAAGUCUUGCUGAUCAAGGACAGUGGAGUCAGCAGAUGGCAUCCACUUGGCACUCCACAGUUCCUAGAUCAGCAAAACCAUAUCCAAAGAAGAGGACAAAAAGUUCGGCAUCUGGAGUUUCCCUUUAAACAAGACAAGGCUUCUCAGCCUGAAUGAAACAUGGCUGCUUCUCUUCCACAGCAAUUGGUUCCAAAUCUUUCAGAAUUAAGAGAGAAGCAGAAAGCAGCAACUACUGAGUCCUGUAUUCUGUACUUUAAUUCUUUUAUGUAAGGAUUUUUUUUUUUGUAACGCUGACUUCCUUAUUCUUGAUUAGGGUUUUCUUCUUGUCUCCUAGGUGCUUGUUGCUUAAUUAUGAUAACCAAGCAGAUGAUGACUGGAGAUUAGUCAAAUGAUGGGACAGUCCACAAUAAACUGUCAUCAAAUGGCACAGAGAAUUUCUUUCUCCCCUCUUCAGAGCUGAAACUGCAUUAUCCCAUCAUAGGGACCCAGCAAAAGAAAUCCUGUGGAGCCCCUUCUGCUGUUUUAAAGGGUCUCUCUAUUGGAUCUUGCAAUAUCAGUUAAAGACCCUGCGGUCCCCAGAGGUCUGUCCCAUUUUUCUGUUCAUGGGCAGGGUGGAAAUAAGAGAUGCACAGGCAAACAUGUUAAAUGUUGCAUUUUAAAACCUCUGAUAGCUAUGUCAUAAUAUCAUAAUAUUUAUACUUAUAAUUGUAUAUAACUACAAUUCUACAUAUAAUUAUAUUGUAUAAUUGUAUAUAACUUCAUUCUACAUAUAAUUAUAUAUGUGAAAUACAUAUUUAUAAUUAUAUGCACUAUAUGUUACAUUAUAUAUAAAAUAAAGAGAAGUACCAGCUGAUGGCAGUUUAUGCUGCUAUGCUACCAGUUGUGAGCACUAGAGAGCUGACACAAUGCCUGCUUGCUGCUCUUCCUAAGGGGCUCCUAACUUCCAGCAAAUGAAAGAAAUAGACAGUUGCCAAUAGUAACUCCUUAAAUUAUAGAUGCUGAUCAGCAAGAGCCCUUAGAAAUCAAUAAGCAUUUUUCCCCUGCCAAAAGACUAAUCUCAGAUAUGAAUCUAAAUAUUACAUUCUUUUUACAGAAAUAAUGAAAUAUUUUAUUCUAGAAUACAAAAAAGGUGGCCUAGUAUAUGAUGUAGAAUGUAAUAUUGAAAGUAUUAUGUUUUAAAGCUAUUAUUAGACUCCUCAAGUACGAACAAACCUGGCUGUUCAAACAAAAGGUGACAUCUUGACAUAUGUUGAUACACACAUCUUCAGCUCUCAGGCCCAAGCAUAUGAGCCAGUGAACUGACUAGCCGUUUGCUCCUAAGUAUACUAAAUUUAAACUUCCACAACAAUUUAAAUCUAAUGCAGGUUACCUAUCAUUUGAAUUUGGUUGUCAUGACUCAACUGCUGCACAUCAAUUUGUACAGCUUAAGUGUCUGAGCCUUCAUGUUAGUUGAAACUUCAUGGCAAUUUUUUCCAAAAUAAAAAAUGUAUUUAA